UCGGCUGCUACAGUCUCACUAGUAGUUUGUCGAGCGGUACGAAAGUAGCUUGCUACUUUGCCGGCGAGCGGCGGACGGGUGAGUAAUGUCUGGGAAACUGCCUGAUGGAGGGGGAUAACUACUGGAAACGGUAGCUAAUACCGCAUAACGUCGCAAGACCAAAGAGGGGGACCUUCGGGCCUCUUGCCAUCAGAUGUGCCCAGAUGGGAUUAGCUAGUAGGUGGGGUAACGGCUCACCUAGGCGACGAUCCCUAGCUGGUCUGAGAGGAUGACCAGCCACACUGGAACUGAGACACGGUCCAGACUCCUACGGGAGGCAGCAGUGGGGAAUAUUGCACAAUGGGCGCAAGCCUGAUGCACCCAUGCCGCGUGUAUGAAGAAGGCCUUCGGGUUGUAAAGUACUUUCAGCGGGGAGGAAGGCGUUGAGGUUAAUAACCACAGCGAUUGACGUUACCCGCAGAAGAAGCACCGGCUAACUCCGUGCCAGCAGCCGCGGUAAUACGGAGGGUGCAAGCGUUAAUCGGAAUUACUGGGCGUAAAGCGCACGCAGGCGGUCUGUCAAGUCAGAUGUGAAAUCCCCGGGCUCAACCUGGGAACUGCAUUCGAAUCUGGCAGGCUAGAGUCUUGUAGAGGGGGGUAGAAUUCCAGGUGUAGCGGUGAAAUGCGUAGAGAUCUGGAGGAAUACCCCGUGGCGAGGCGGCCCCCUGGACAAAGACUGACGCUCAGGUGCAAAGCGUGGGGAGCAAACAGGAUUAGAUACCC
This 762-nucleotide ribosomal RNA is filed under the name Enterobacter sp. Its description in RNAcentral is "bacterial SSU rRNA". It matches the Rfam family "Bacterial small subunit ribosomal RNA", at positions 39 to 787 of the family's 1533-position model. Lineage: Bacteria; Pseudomonadati; Pseudomonadota; Gammaproteobacteria; Enterobacterales; Enterobacteriaceae. The record is from RNAcentral.